This 195-nucleotide ribosomal RNA is filed under the name uncultured bacterium. RNAcentral describes it as "partial 16S ribosomal RNA". It matches the Rfam family "Bacterial small subunit ribosomal RNA", at positions 338 to 524 of the family's 1533-position model. The record is from RNAcentral.
CCUACGGGAGGCAGCAGUAGGGAAUAUUGCGCAAUGGGGGAAACCCUGACGCAGCAACGCCGCGUGAGUGAGGAAGGACUUCGGUCUGUAAAGCUCUGUUAAUGUGGAAAAAUGGUAGCUGGUCUAAUAGGCCGGCUAUUUGAUGGUACACAUAGAGGAAGCACCGGCUAACUUCGUGCCAGCAGCCGCGGUAAU